UGGGGCCUACGGGGCGCAGCAGUGGGGAAUAUUGCACAAUGGGGGGAACCCUGAUGCAGCGACGCCGCGUGAGUGAAGAAGUAUUUCGGUAUGUAAAGCUCUAUCAGCAGGGAAGAAGAUGACGGUACCUGACUAAGAAGCCCCGGCUAACUACGUGCCAGCAGCCGCGGUAAUACGUAGGGGGCAAGCGUUAUCCGGAUUUACUGGGUGUAGAGGGAGCGUAGACGGCGAUGCAAGUCUGAAGUGAAAGCCCGGGGCUCAACCCCGGGACUGCUUUGGAAACUGUAUGGCUGGAGUGCUGGAGG
Molecule: ribosomal RNA, 305 nt
Filed under: uncultured bacterium
Lineage: Bacteria
Description: bacterial SSU rRNA
Rfam family: Bacterial small subunit ribosomal RNA
Source: RNAcentral